UGCAGUCGAACGAGAACUAGGGCUGUAGCAAUACAGUCCUGGGGAAAGUGGCGAAAGGGGCAGUAAGGCAUGGGUAGCCUACCCCGGGGAUCGGCAUAGCCAUCCUAACGGAUGGGUAAUACCGGGCGAUCUCGCGAAGGCGCCUGUUUUUGCGAGGAGAUGAAUUUCGCCUCGGGAGGGGCUCAUGUGAUAUUAGCUUGUUGGCGAGGUAACGGCUCACCAAGGCAAAGAUGUCUAGCGGGUGUGAGAGCACGACCCGCGCCACUGGCACUGAGACACUGGCCAGACUCCUACGGGAGGCUGCAGUCGAGGAUCUUCGGCAAUGGGCGCAAGCCUGACCGAGCGACGCCGCGUGUGCGAUGAAGGCCUUCGGGUUGUAAAGCACUGUCGAGGGGGAGGAAAGCCCGCAAGGGUCUGACCUAUCCCUGGAGGAAGCACGGGCUAAGUUCGUGCCAGCAGCCGCGGUAAGACGAACCGUGUGAACGUUGUUCGGAUUCACUGGGCUUAAAGGGCGCGUAGGCGGUUUCUCAAGUCCGGGGUGAAAUCUUUCGGCUUAACCGGAAAAGUGCCUUGGAUACUGGGAAGCUCGAGGGAGGUAGGGGCAGCUGGAACUUCCAGUGGAGCGGUGAAAUGCGUUGAUAUUGGAAGGAACUCCGGUGGCGAAAGCGAGCUGCUGGACCUCUUCUGACGCUGAGGCGCGAAAGCUAGGGGAGCAAACGGGAUUAGAUACCCCGGUAGUCCUAGCCCUAAACGAUGGGUACUAGUUGUGGACUUAACAUGGGUUCACAGCCGAAGCAAAAGUGCUAAGUACCCCGCCUGGGGAGUAUGGUCGCAAGGCUGAAACUC
RNAcentral lists this ribosomal RNA (846 nucleotides) under uncultured Planctomycetota bacterium. Its description in RNAcentral is "bacterial SSU rRNA". It matches the Rfam family "Bacterial small subunit ribosomal RNA", at positions 56 to 902 of the family's 1533-position model. Lineage: Bacteria; Pseudomonadati; Planctomycetota. The record is from RNAcentral.